UUCUUAUCGAGAGAGGCGGAGGGAAAGGCCCGAUGAAGCCCAGCAACCGAUUCGCCCGUGAAAUGAUUUGCAGGAUGUAGCGCACUCGUCACGGCGGAAUGUCAUGGUGCUAAUUCCUUCAAAACCGAUGUGAUUUACUCGGUUUUGGCAGAUGAGAA
RNAcentral lists this non-coding RNA (158 nucleotides) under Paenibacillus sp. Its description in RNAcentral is "SAM-I sequence". It matches the Rfam family "SAM riboswitch aptamer (S box leader)". Rfam says of the family: The SAM riboswitch is found upstream of a number of genes which code for proteins involved in methionine or cysteine biosynthesis in Gram-positive bacteria. The SAM riboswitch acts at the level of transcription termination control. The predicted structure consists of a complex stem-loop region followed by a single stem loop terminator region. The record is from RNAcentral. RNAcentral also lists the same sequence under 1 other name. Lineage: Bacteria; Bacillati; Bacillota; Bacilli; Caryophanales; Paenibacillaceae.